UGAACUGGAGCCGUCAAUGGCGAAGGAGGCGCAGCGGCUGGGCACACUCAAGAACAGAAUGGCCUGGCACUUACGGACCUGGGGUGAGACUGCUGGCCCCUGAGAAACCACAGCUGCACCUUUCUAGGUUCCUGGCAGGUAUAUGAAGCAAUGGCAUGGAGAAAGAUCAGCUGAUGUGACUCUGGGACCUAUGGAGUGUGGAGGACCAAGGGCUCAUCUGAAAAGACAUCAAUGUGGUCCUCUACAGAGUACUCAAUGGAAGUUGGAAACUGCCCUACAAAAACUAACUCUUUGAAAAGCAAGUUAGAUUUAUACUAAUGAUAAUGGUACCAAAAUGAGUCGGGAGGGGUUGUAAUAGAACCAGCUGGGUUCAGGCUUGUGCAUUUGUUCCCUAUGUGUUUGUGGUGGGAGAUGAUAUUCAAAUCUGACAUAAUAUCACUACUCAAUUAUAUCAUAUUGCAUGUGUAAAUUGUUACCUACAUCAUUGUGUUAAUCAGGACUACAAAAAAUCAAUUAUGAUCAUGUAUCAACCUAUUGCAAUUUGAACAACUGUAAAUCUUACUGUAUAAUGGAAAAAACCCUACCUUAAAGAUUCUACAUUCUGUUUUUCAAAAAAUACUACAAUGAAGAAAGCAAGUCAUAGAUUUAAUCAUUGGCAUUACUUUUAGUAUUAUUGGAAAUAACACCUGUGGCUACAUCUAAAAUGGCAAAACUGACUUUUGUUCUAGGUGACUUUUGCUUUAACAUUUUUUUCCCAGCCAUUUCCCUCUGCAUCCAGUCAGUCAUGAAGACUAUGCCUGUAGCUUCAGUGGGUACAUUGUUUCUACAAUAGUGGUAAACUUUCAACUAGCCCAGUAGAACAUCCAGGUAGCACAUCCUCCCAGCUAUACCUGCAUCUCCAAGGAGCCCAUUGUCUCUGCAAUUCUGAGAAACUUGUUUUUACUAACCAAAACUUUUGGUUAACUGAAAACCUCUUUGUUAACUGACCUGCCCCUGGACUGGUGUAACUACGGUGAUCUGAUGUAACUAUAGUUAUUGGCUUUGCCAGUGGCAUCAUGUAAUUAUGGUUUUAGGCUUUAUAAACCCCACCUUAUGUCCCCUUGGGUCAAGAUGUUUUGGGGGCAUUAUCCCCCUCUCUGACUGCCAGUCUUUUUGCUAGCUAAUAAAGAACCGUGGUCACCGGC
Molecule: long non-coding RNA, 1184 nt
Organism: Nannospalax galili (Upper Galilee mountains blind mole rat)
Lineage: Eukaryota; Metazoa; Chordata; Mammalia; Rodentia; Spalacidae
Exons: 2
Source: RefSeq, a predicted model, not a curated record